Molecule: long non-coding RNA, 3226 nt
Organism: Triticum aestivum (bread wheat)
Lineage: Eukaryota; Viridiplantae; Streptophyta; Magnoliopsida; Poales; Poaceae
Exons: 9
Source: RefSeq, a predicted model, not a curated record
CCCCCUCCCCCCCCCCCGCCCCGCGUCUCUCCCCCUGGUCCAAACCCUAGGCCCGCGCCCGCCGCCGCCGCCGCUUGCCCAGGCCAUCCUCCCGCUGUGAAAGAAGCGGCCAGAGAGGGAGGGCGUUGCCGGGUGUGCGCGUGCCCCUCCGCGGAUUCGCGUCGCGGUUGCCGGAGGCGUGGGCGCCGCGGGUCAACCACGCCGGGGAGGAUGGGGGCGCCACAAGCCUCGUCGGAGGUCGCCUCUCCAUCCGCUACGGCUCCGGCGCUCGUCCUCCUCACCGGCGGUCGCCUCUCCAUCCGCCACAGCCCCGGCGCUCGUCCUCCUCACCAUUAUCACCCAGCGAUCCUCCCCGCCCUGGCGCGUCCUCUGACCUCAACGGUGGCUGCUAAACCCGCAGUAUGCUAGGGAAUGGAUUCACAGUCACAAUGGAGUACUGGGUGCGACAUCCAGCGCAGGAGCCUAUGUGAUGUGUACCUAUGUUGGUGCCUUGCCUUUACAGAGAUCCAUUAUGCCUUCCUCUCGAUAAGCAAGACAAGCUUUUACUUGUACCCUGGAACAUGGAGCGGCUCGACGCGCCGGCCACGUGCGCCGAGGAGCCGGCUGCUAGCAAGGAGUGAGAGGCGGAGCGUGGUCGUUGUGGCAGGCGGCGCGCUACCAGCACCACAGCAAGAUGGGAUGCGCACAGGAGGGAGUGGCUGGGCAAGGUGAUAAUGGCCUUCUCGAGUCAGCGUCAGCAGCUGACCAUUGACGGUGACACAAGGGGGGCACGCUCUAUGGUGUUGCCGUCAUAUGCCGCCAUAUGUAGUCACAGCUCCACCGGAUGUCGGCGACCCGCCCCACCGGAUGACGCCAUACCUGGUGCAGGGCAUGUGCACAACGCUCGAGGACAGCACUUACUGCCUCUGUGACGCUGUUGGUGCCGGGAAGGAUGAGAGGCUCGAGGCAGACCUGAAACUAAUUUGGUUGGGGGCAACAUCGGACCAGUGAUAUUGAGGUGACGUUGGCCAUGGGCGCAGCUGUCCACAGCUAGGAGUGGGAUUGUUAGUUUGUUACAACAUAUACAACACGGAAGGGUGAUUUAAACAAGCCAGAAUUGUUUCGGCUAUGAUUCGCAACAUAGAUGGGGGAUUUUAAAAUGUCAGACAAGAAAGUUAUCGGCCUGUUUGUUGAUGACUUUGGGUCUCCGAGCAUCUCUGGAGCCUGCUGGACGCUGCUCUUGCUGCUUGGUUCCCAAGUUAACCCAUAUCUUGCUCUAUUUACUCUUGCUUGUCAUGUGUUUAUUUAUCUAUUAUUCUUAUGUGUUCAUCCCUUUGUCUGGCAUGCGUUGGUGUCUUCUGGGUUAUUCUUUAAGAAUCAUAUGGGUCUGUUCUGUUGGUGUCAUGUUUUUUUAUAACUAUGUAAUUAAUUACAAACAUAUAUUUAGAUUAGAUUAUCCUUCUUAGAUUAGAUAGCAUAAUUAAUGGGAUGUAAAUAUUUGAUUUCGCAGCCAGGUUUUUCAUUAGUUUUGUUCCAAGAAUAGUACUUUUGUCUUUGAUUUCUAUGUAUAAAACAGAGAAUAAAAAACUUCUUGCCGAGGUGCACCUGAUCCCAGUUUUUCUUUGGUACGGUCAGUGUUUGUACCUUCUGGUUGUUUCCAUUGAAUGGUUUUCAAACAUUUAUUAGGGAUUCAUAGGAAGGGCUAAAAACCGCAUAAGAAUAGCCACUUCUGCUUGAAGAAAACUCCAUGGAGUUCCGAUUCGGAGCUUAGCUUGAGCAACUGUUCAUUUCUUGGUUUUUCUUAAUUUGGAAUGCAAGUAUGUUGCCUUUUUUUACAAGAAUUCUUCACCUAUUCAAGCAGCUAAAUUUUGUGUAAAUUAGAACAAAAAAAAACUAUAUCAACAUUGUGGUGAACUGAUAAACAGAAAGAAAGAUUAGCAAAUAGUGCACUCACACAAAUCACAAAAACCGAAAAAACUAUAUCAGCAUUGCGGCUUUCAGUGAUUAUCAACUGCAAUGUAAAUGUGUAUUUUCGUCCAGUCAGCCUGCCACCUCUCUUGCUAUCUAGCUUACUGUGGCCUGUGGUCGCCCAGAUCCUGGCAGGGAUAGUAGUAUGUGGCCAGAGCAGGGCAUCUAUCUCGGCGACCCAGCUAUCAGCACAAUACUCCAAGGUAUUUGGAUCCUUGCCUUGCGCCUGCAAGCCCAUCGCCUAUCCUCACAGGCACUAGCAUAAAAUUCAUAUGCUUCUCUACUUCAAACCAAAGGACCCUUGUUAUAGAAGGAAAUUGCUUUUAUUCAUGUAUUUUAGAAGUAUAUACAUUCUUGAACCGAUGCGAAAAUUGUGUUGUAUUUCAUACUUAACCAAAUGCAAAUCAACGUUCUUUAGCACUAUAUGCCAUGUUAUAGAAAAAAAGGUGCUUAAUUCCGAAUAUCUUUUGUGCAUUCUUGGUUUCAAGAGCAGGCACAUGUUUGGUUGGGUUCCCAAUGCUUUAUGAAGCAUCAUGAUCAGGGAACAAAUACAAUGCUUUGUUUGAUUUCUGUUCAUAUUAUCCCUCUAAAUAUUAAGUGGGCUUCUCUUCAAGUGUGCCUGAUUAUCGGUGAUAUAACCUUUGGACCAACAAUGCUCGACAUUUUAGGGAUUUACUCUCGCAUCGACUAAACGCAUGGUUCAUUGCUGACAGUAGUGUCUGGAGCGGGUAUUUCUUUUUGGAAACCACAUUAGAGCUUAUGGGCAUCAACAAUUUUAUCAAUGAGGAAGUAUUCCAAGCCAAGGUCACUGCUGAGUAGACAUGAAGAGGAUGAAUCCUACUUUGAUGAGCCCUCAUACAUCAUGCUUCACCUUCCUUCAAUGUUAGAGUAAUUUGUGAACAAGGAAAUAUCAAGCUGAUGCACUUGGCCAUUUAGGAGCUGAUGAUCCGGAAGAAAUGGUAGAAUUAGAUAUUUCAUAGGCAUAGUAAUUUUCUUCUAAUGCCGGGACUCGAGUUAGAUCCGUAUCAGGUAAAGACUCCAGUCUACAUGUAUGUUCACUCUCUGAAUGUAAUUCAGAAAGUUGAGGGUUCCGAUCUGCAUGUUAGCCCACACCUUGCACAAAGUGAACACUCACAUGUAUGCGGAUACUGGUUUUGCUUAUGGUGCCUAUCAACUCAAACUAAUUUGACAUGUGUAUCUUAUUCGUUUUCGCCCCACCGGUCAAUUAUGUCUCGCUUAAAUCUGCCUUAUAAUCUCAUGCUGAUAUUAAGCAUCAUUA